GAAAUGAACGCUGGCGGCAGGCUUAACACAUGCAAGUCGAGCGGAGUGAUGGUGCUUGCACUAUCACUUAGCGGCGGACGGGUGAGUAAUGCUUAGGAAUCUGCCUAUUAGUGGGGGACAACAUCUCGAAAGGGAUGCUAAUACCGCAUACGUCCUACGGGAGAAAGCAGGGGAUCACUUGUGACCUUGCGCUAAUAGAUGAGCCUAAGUCGGAUUAGCUAGUUGGUGGGGUAAAGGCCUACCAAGGCGACGAUCUGUAGCGGGUCUGAGAGGAUGAUCCGCCACACUGGGACUGAGACACGGCCCAGACUCCUACGGGAGGCAGCAGUGGGGAAUAUUGGACAAUGGGGGGAACCCUGAUCCAGCCAUGCCGCGUGUGUGAAGAAGGCCUUAUGGUUGUAAAGCACUUUAAGCGAGGAGGAGGCUCUUUUGGUUAAUACCCAGAAUGAGUGGACGUUACUCGCAGAAUAAGCACCGGCUAACUCUGUGCCAGCAGCCGCGGUAAUACAGAGGGUGCAAGCGUUAAUCGGAUUUACUGGGCGUAAAGCGCGCGUAGGCGGCCAAUUAAGUCAAAUGUGAAAUCCCCGAGCUUAACUUGGGAAUUGCAUUCGAUACUGGUUGGCUAGAGUGUGGGAGAGGAUGGUAGAAUUCCAGGUGUAGCG
RNAcentral lists this ribosomal RNA (662 nucleotides) under Acinetobacter sp. EVA13. RNAcentral's name for it is "bacterial SSU rRNA". It matches the Rfam family "Bacterial small subunit ribosomal RNA", at positions 26 to 680 of the family's 1533-position model. The record is from RNAcentral. Lineage: Bacteria; Pseudomonadati; Pseudomonadota; Gammaproteobacteria; Moraxellales; Moraxellaceae.